RNAcentral lists this long non-coding RNA (227 nucleotides) under Elaeis guineensis (African oil palm). Its description in RNAcentral is "long non-coding RNA (EGUI_LNC008325)". The record is from RNAcentral. Lineage: Eukaryota; Viridiplantae; Streptophyta; Magnoliopsida; Arecales; Arecaceae.
AUAUUUUAAAUAUUAAUUAUCAUUAAAAAAUUAAUCUACGUGCAAUAAUUUUCUAUAGAUAUAUUCGUUAAGCAGUGUAUAAAAUCCAUCAUUAACCUAUUUAAUUAUUUUUCUUGUUAUAAUAUUGUAGAAAGCCAUCCUUGCACCCUAUUGGAACAUCAAUACAAGGUCUAGGCCUGGGGCUUGGGGCGGUCGCCCAGUUUGACCUGCCCCAGGGCCGGCCCUGU